Molecule: ribosomal RNA, 1522 nt
Filed under: Salmonella enterica subsp. enterica serovar Bovismorbificans
Lineage: Bacteria; Pseudomonadati; Pseudomonadota; Gammaproteobacteria; Enterobacterales; Enterobacteriaceae
Also listed under: 1 other name
Description: bacterial SSU rRNA
Rfam family: Bacterial small subunit ribosomal RNA
Source: RNAcentral
AGAGUUUGAUCAUGGCUCAGAUUGAACGCUGGCGGCAGGCCUAACACAUGCAAGUCGAACGGUAACAGGAAGCAGCUUGCUGCUUCGCUGACGAGUGGCGGACGGGUGAGUAAUGUCUGGGAAACUGCCUGAUGGAGGGGGAUAACUACUGGAAACGGUGGCUAAUACCGCAUAACGUCGCAAGACCAAAGAGGGGGACCUUCGGGCCUCUUGCCAUCAGAUGUGCCCAGAUGGGAUUAGCUAGUUGGUGAGGUAACGGCUCACCAAGGCGACGAUCCCUAGCUGGUCUGAGAGGAUGACCAGCCACACUGGAACUGAGACACGGUCCAGACUCCUACGGGAGGCAGCAGUGGGGAAUAUUGCACAAUGGGCGCAAGCCUGAUGCAGCCAUGCCGCGUGUAUGAAGAAGGCCUUCGGGUUGUAAAGUACUUUCAGCGGGGAGGAAGGUGUUGUGGUUAAUAACCGCAGCAAUUGACGUUACCCGCAGAAGAAGCACCGGCUAACUCCGUGCCAGCAGCCGCGGUAAUACGGAGGGUGCAAGCGUUAAUCGGAAUUACUGGGCGUAAAGCGCACGCAGGCGGUCUGUCAAGUCGGAUGUGAAAUCCCCGGGCUCAACCUGGGAACUGCAUUCGAAACUGGCAGGCUUGAGUCUUGUAGAGGGGGGUAGAAUUCCAGGUGUAGCGGUGAAAUGCGUAGAGAUCUGGAGGAAUACCGGUGGCGAAGGCGGCCCCCUGGACAAAGACUGACGCUCAGGUGCGAAAGCGUGGGGAGCAAACAGGAUUAGAUACCCUGGUAGUCCACGCCGUAAACGAUGUCUACUUGGAGGUUGUGCCCUUGAGGCGUGGCUUCCGGAGCUAACGCGUUAAGUAGACCGCCUGGGGAGUACGGCCGCAAGGUUAAAACUCAAAUGAAUUGACGGGGGCCCGCACAAGCGGUGGAGCAUGUGGUUUAAUUCGAUGCAACGCGAAGAACCUUACCUGGUCUUGACAUCCACAGAACUUUCCAGAGAUGAGACUGUGCCUUCGGGAACUGUGAGACAGGUGCUGCAUGGCUGUCGUCAGCUCGUGUUGUGAAAUGUUGGGUUAAGUCCCGCAACGAGCGCAACCCUUAUCCUUUGUUGCCAGCGGUCCGGCCGGGAACUCAAAGGAGACUGCCAGUGAUAAACUGGAGGAAGGUGGGGAUGACGUCAAGUCAUCAUGGCCCUUACGACCAGGGCUACACACGUGCUACAAUGGCGCAUACAAAGAGAAGCGACCUCGCGAGAGCAAGCGGACCUCAUAAAGUGCGUCGUAGUCCGGAUUGGAGUCUGCAACUCGACUCCAUGAAGUCGGAAUCGCUAGUAAUCGUGGAUCAGAAUGCCACGGUGAAUACGUUCCCGGGCCUUGUACACACCGCCCGUCACACCAUGGGAGUGGGUUGCAAAAGAAGUAGGUAGCUUAACCUUCGGGAGGGCGCUUACCACUUUGUGAUUCAUGACUGGGGUGAAGUCGUAACAAGGUAACCGUAGGGGAACCUGCGGUUG